RNAcentral lists this ribosomal RNA (253 nucleotides) under uncultured bacterium. RNAcentral's name for it is "partial 16S ribosomal RNA". It matches the Rfam family "Bacterial small subunit ribosomal RNA", at positions 524 to 776 of the family's 1533-position model. The record is from RNAcentral.
UACAGAGGGUGCAAGCGUUAAUCGGAAUUACUGGGCGUAAAGCGCACGUAGGCGGUUUUUUAAGUCAGAUGUGAAAGCCCCGGGCUCAACCUGGGAAUUGCAUUUGAAACUGGGAAACUAGAGUGUGUGAGAGGGGGGUAGAAUUCCAAGUGUAGCGGUGAAAUGCGCAGAGAUUUGGAGGAAUACCAGUGGCGAAGGCGGCCCCCUGGCACAACACUGACGCUCAGGUGCGAAAGCGUGGGGAGCAAACAGG